Molecule: ribosomal RNA, 253 nt
Filed under: uncultured bacterium
Lineage: Bacteria
Description: partial 16S ribosomal RNA
Rfam family: Bacterial small subunit ribosomal RNA
Source: RNAcentral
UACGGGGGGUGCAAGCGUUGCUCGGAAUUAUUGGGCGUAAAGCGUACGCAGGCGGCUUGGCAAGUCGAGUGUGAAAUCGCGGGGCUCAACCCCGGACUGGCAUUCGAAACUGCUGAGCUUGAGUGCGGGAGAGGGAAGCGGAAUUCCUGGUGUAGAGGUGAAAUUCGUAGAUAUCAGGAGGGACACCGGUGGCGAAAGCGGCUUCCUGGCCCGAUACUGACGCUCAUGUACGAAAGCGUGGGGAGCAAACAGG